RNAcentral lists this small RNA (2229 nucleotides) under Histoplasma capsulatum var. duboisii H88. Its description in RNAcentral is "Histoplasma capsulatum H88 hypothetical RNA". Lineage: Eukaryota; Fungi; Ascomycota; Eurotiomycetes; Onygenales; Ajellomycetaceae. The record is from RNAcentral.
CCACACACACUUCCGCCCCCCAGCACUGUCCUCAUAUUAUCGUCCCCUUGUACUUGCCAGAGGGCCAUCAUAACAACGUAUUGUCGCGGAUUGCUAACGCGGCCCCAGCGAUUUCGGCGAUUAGGGCCCUCCUCUCUCCUUGGGAGCUUCGUUUCCUUCCCUACUCUGGCAAACGUUGCGCUGUCCAAUCCACUCAUCCUUUCCGCAGGUAACCCGUCGCCCCCCUUUUUUCCCCCAGGCUGUUGGCCAUGAGAGGCUUAGAGCGUUCCGAUCCACAGUUAUUGUUCUCAUCUUCGUUCCAGUGGAGUUGGGACGGGUUGAGGUUCUCUCUCCGUCUUUCGCCAUCAAGCAAUUUCCGAGGUCGUGCGGGGAGCGCUACACGGUGGCCUGCGCCACAUUGAUACCACAGUCCCCCCGCCACAGAUAUGAUGUCAUGUCACCACUGUUUCACGCUCGGUUAUUGGCUACUAGUCAUACCUUCCCCACCUCUGCAGGCGGACGGCAGAUUAUUAGAGAUACGGCAAGUCGCUGUGGGUCACCGAGUAUAUUUUUUUUUUGACUCGAAAUGUCGACUCGGUGGACCACAUUUCAGAAAAAUAUAAAUAUAAAAUAAAAACAGAGUGAGUAAUUCUUCAAGCCCAUGUUUCGAGUUCCCGUGGAUGGAGCGCUCGUUUGACUCAUAUAACUGCUUACUAAGUAGGUUUCUACUCUGAAUAAAAAUAGUCAAACGGAUCAGAUAUAGCUUUACAGAUCUGCACAGAUUCUGACGGUAUUUUCCCGCUCGAGUCCAGCUCCAUUUCGCCUCUUCGGCCCCCUGAAUAUAUGUCUACAUCAAAAUAAAUAUAAAGAUCCAGAUGGCAGAACAACAACAUCGAGAACAUCUAGGCUUGCUCUGGAACAAGAGGAGGGGGAAAAACAAAAUAACCAAGAAAUCUACUCCACUCGCGAUGUUUUUCUCGUCAACCAAAAAAAAUAAAUAAAAAUAUGAAUGAAUGAAAAACAAAAAAGAGAUCAAUCAGAAUUCAAAGUGAAAUCGCCCUAUUAGCGCGAGGUAUGUGGCUGUCCACUUUUUCCUCCUCCUUCACACUGAUAACCAGUACCUACUAUGAUAGGCUGGUUAACUGACCCUUCUAAACAAUGAAUUGAGGCUUGAGGCACAGGCACAGGCACAAGCAAGAGAAGGCAUGAUGUGUGCAGAGCAGGUCCAUGAGCGUCUUGAGCGGCGCUAGUAUCGAAUAGCGCGACUCGACCUUCCUCUUUUUUCCCCCGUUCAUCCCAGCGGUUCUGGCCCCAGAGUGCGCAAGGCGGCCAAUGCUCAACCCAUACACAAAACGCAAAGUACCGUAAAGUACUCUCUGUACAUGACCAUGUGCAUGUACAGUACAUGUAUAUGAUAUUUUCGCAGAUUCUCUGGCAUAUAACAACUGUAUUACUCUUAUGUACUCCGUAAGGUAACGAACAUAGAUGGGAUAACAGGGAAGGCUGGGGGAGGGGGAGGAAAUCAAAAGGAGGGUUGAGUACACGGGCCUUCUCCUGCCACCCUUUCUGAUCUCCAUGCCAGUUUACACUGACUCUGCAGUGUAUGUACCGCACAAUACCUGCGGUAUUCUCCGCAGGAUCUGCGACUUCUGGAUCGCUGGCCCAUCUCCCGGUGUCUCUCUAAUGUAGAUUCUAGAUCGGUAGGAAGAAGAACCAGCACCAGGGAGUCCAGGGCAAGGCAGGGGGCUGGUCCCUGGGCACCGGGCACUGGGCAUUGCCAACUCUGCCUAGAUCAUCACAACAAAAAAAAAAGAAAAGAAAAAAUGCUGCCGCAAAGGAAAAACAAAUAAAUACAGUGCUUUCAUCUUCAUGGGAAAAAUGUGCGACGUUACCCAGGUGUGUAGCGCGAACCGCAAGGCCUGAAGUAUCCAAUAUCAAUUAAGCUCAAGACACCCACUUCAGCCGUUGUUUCGGUGAUACUGCUUGAAAUGGGAGCGGGAGAAGCAUGCCCACCUUUCGAUCAAUAACAAUUUUCUGGGCGAAAUAGCGGAAUAAUUUCCGGGGCAUACAACAGCAGCGCAAGUACAGAGUACCCGCCCUUACAUCUCCUCUAUGAUAUGUGUCGAUGUUGGUUGUGAGCAUGCAUAUUGAACCUCAUAGUUAAGACUUUGUGACCAGGGUAGCCCGUCCACCGAGCGAGGGAAGAAGGAAUCUUCUGAAACGUAGCAUUGACUGCCUACACUGCCAACA